This 96-nucleotide non-coding RNA is filed under the name Dehalogenimonas sp. RNAcentral describes it as "SAM-I sequence". It matches the Rfam family "SAM riboswitch aptamer (S box leader)". From Rfam's summary of the family: The SAM riboswitch is found upstream of a number of genes which code for proteins involved in methionine or cysteine biosynthesis in Gram-positive bacteria. The SAM riboswitch acts at the level of transcription termination control. The record is from RNAcentral. Lineage: Bacteria; Bacillati; Chloroflexota; Dehalococcoidia; Dehalococcoidales; Dehalococcoidaceae.
UAGCUAUCGAGAGUGACGGUUAGGGAAUUGGCCCGAUGAUCCGUCCGGCAACCUUAGGUCUUUUCUUAAGGUGCCAAAGCCAAAAAGCGAUAGGUC